CUUGCGGCCAUAUCACGUUGAAACACCGAUUCACGUACGAUCACCGAAGUAAAGCAACGUUGUGCUUGGUCAGUACCAAGAUGGGUGACCGCUUGCGAAUACCAAGAGCUGUAAU
RNAcentral lists this ribosomal RNA (115 nucleotides) under Acanthosepion pharaonis. The record is from RNAcentral. Lineage: Eukaryota; Metazoa; Mollusca; Cephalopoda; Sepiida; Sepiidae.